Molecule: long non-coding RNA, 849 nt
Filed under: Homo sapiens (human)
Lineage: Eukaryota; Metazoa; Chordata; Mammalia; Primates; Hominidae
Description: long non-coding RNA NONHSAT168263.1
Source: RNAcentral
AAAAACAAGUUUUAAUGGAUGCUGAAAAUAAUACUGGCUAUCAUUUAUUGAUAUAUGCCAGGUAAUAAGUGAGAUGCGUUUCACAUAUUAAGUUACUGCUCUAAUAAUUUCUUGCAACAUAAUAUCCUUAUUUAUUACCUAUCUACUUAUACAUAUCCUCUAAACACAUAGUAUUGAAUAUGGUCUCCUCUAGGUGAUAUGGCCAAAUAUGAUCAAGUAAAAUAUCUUAUCCUCAAAAAACUCUUCUUCUCACUUUUUAAGACAAACUGAACUGCUUCCAAAUAGCCUCAAUUACCUGGAUCCCAACAGUCAAGAAUUGUUGUUAAGGCACUUCGGAGAAGGUCAGUCCAAGCAGUACGGCUCUUUUCUGCCCGGGCCAUGGGAGAAGAUAAUAUUCCUUUUAGAGCCUGUAGGGAAGCUGCAACUGUCGAAGAUAACUGGCCCCCAGGUAGGUCAAGUCAAGCAAUCACAUACCACAGCAUACCUUCAGGAGAGCACACUGCAGGAAGUUCGGAAAGGAUAACCAAUGCAGCUGAAACCAAUCUACUUCCAUCUUCUAAUAGUAUCUGUGGCUUCGUAGCUUUUACUCCUGGGCUACCUGUCAAUUUAGGGUUUAAUUCUGGGAGCUGUCUAACUAGAAUGCAUACACACAAUUCCAGUGUUGCAAAGACCAAAGACUUUCCAGGCACAAGUCCUCCGGUGUCCUUUCCCUCUCCAAACUCUGGCAGAGUUUCCUUUUCAGCAGCCCCAUCAUCAACUAAAAGAAAGAAUAGUGUUUAAUACUUUGUGCUUGCUCUGCUUCUGGUAGAUGGCAAUUUAGUUAAAUCCUGUUACAGGAAAUACAUGUAU